Molecule: long non-coding RNA, 393 nt
Organism: Mytilus californianus (California mussel)
Lineage: Eukaryota; Metazoa; Mollusca; Bivalvia; Mytilida; Mytilidae
Exons: 2
Source: RefSeq, a predicted model, not a curated record
AAAAAUAAAUGCUGAAUUUACUAAAUUUUUUUACUACAGGGUUGAAAAGUAAUGGGGGUCAGUGAAGGAAUUAAGUGCGAAUCUACAGUGUUUGUAAACAAGGCCAUGUGAAUGCCCAAAAAUGCCGCAUGACCCUAUGUUUUUAUUGUUGCAAAUGAUAGGGCUACAUUUGUACUUUCAUGAAUGAUAUAUGAAAUUUUCUAAUUUCUAAAGUUUUGUCUGUCUAGUUUUGGUGAAGAAACCAUCCUGAUGUUGGGGUAACAGGAAUUUCUGCAGAGUGAUUGUCAAUGACAUUUUGUGAACUUUACAAGUAAUUAAAACACAAAUUUAGUAAAAUGAAACAUAAUUGUUGGUUUUUUUUGUAUGAAACUGCUUAAAAAAGCCUUUGAAAAG